GGAGGCGUGGCUUGGUAGGAAAGCACAUGUCUGGCAUACAUGAGGGCCUAGGUUCAAUCCCCAUCACCA
Molecule: transfer RNA, 69 nt
Filed under: Rattus norvegicus (Norway rat)
Lineage: Eukaryota; Metazoa; Chordata; Mammalia; Rodentia; Muridae
Rfam family: tRNA
About the family: Transfer RNA (tRNA) molecules are approximately 80 nucleotides in length. Their secondary structure includes four short double-helical elements and three loops (D, anti-codon, and T loops). Further hydrogen bonds mediate the characteristic L-shaped molecular structure. tRNAs have two regions of fundamental functional importance: the anti-codon, which is responsible for specific mRNA codon recognition, and the 3' end, to which the tRNAs corresponding amino acid is attached (by aminoacyl-tRNA synthetases). tRNAs cope with the degeneracy of the genetic code in two manners: having more than one tRNA (with a specific anti-codon) for a particular amino acid; and 'wobble' base-pairing, i.e. permitting non-standard base-pairing at the 3rd anti-codon position.
Source: Rfam by way of RNAcentral